AUUGAACGCUGGCGGCAGGCCUAACACAUGCAAGUCGAGCGGAUGAAGGGAGCUUGCUCCUGGAUUCAGCGGCGGACGGGUGAGUAAUGCCUAGGAAUCUGCCUGGUAGUGGGGGAUAACGUCCGGAAACGGGCGCUAAUACCGCAUACGUCCUGAGGGAGAAAGUGGGGGAUCUUCGGACCUCACGCUAUCAGAUGAGCCUAGGUCGGAUUAGCUAGUUGGUGGGGUAAAGGCCUACCAAGGCGACGAUCCGCAACUGGUCUGAGAGGAUGAUCAGUCACACUGGAACUGAGACACGGUCCAGACUCCUACGGGAGGCAGCAGUGGGGAAUAUUGGACAAUGGGCGAAAGCCUGAUCCAGCCAUGCCGCGUGUGUGAAGAAGGUCUUCGGAUUGUAAAGCACUUUAAGUUGGGAGGAAGGGCAGUAAGUUAAUACCUUGCUGUUUUGACGUUACCAACAGAAUAAGCACCGGCUAACUUCGUG
Molecule: ribosomal RNA, 484 nt
Filed under: uncultured bacterium
Lineage: Bacteria
Description: partial 16S ribosomal RNA
Rfam family: Bacterial small subunit ribosomal RNA
Source: RNAcentral